Long non-coding RNA from Homo sapiens (human), 1484 nucleotides. Ensembl annotates it as long intergenic non-protein coding RNA 1471. The record is from Ensembl. Lineage: Eukaryota; Metazoa; Chordata; Mammalia; Primates; Hominidae.
UGGGGGACAGAGUGGGUGGGGAGGGGAGCCGCCAUACAGUGGCCAGGACCAGCUUUGCCCAAGUGGUGGCAACCGCAUGACCACAGGAACGAUGGCGUGAGCCCCGUGGCAACCUGGAGGAAGGGCGAGUCUCCAGAGCCUGGAGGACAAGUUAGCCUUGCGAAGGAUAGCAGAGGACCCAGCCCAGGGGUCCCCAAAAUGGAGCACCAACCCUCCAUGCAGGCCAAGCCACUGGUGAAUAUGCUGCAAAAAAUAUGCUGGAACUUCUAUGAAUACCACAGGGUGUGAGAAGAAAACAUUAGAACUUCUAUUUUGUACCUGUGUUACUCCACAACAAGAAAGCAAUCAGCUUGAUCAAUGCCUACUGUAAAGACGGCACCGCCCUCCGGAGGUCCUUUCUCAGCCCUGGUGUUCGGACAGCCACAUCCCCUCGCAGCAGGGGGAGGCCUGAAGCAUAGAGGGGCCCAUGCAGGUCUAUUCUGUUUCAGCGAAUUGCCUGGGAAAUAAUCCAGGAUCCAUUUCGUGUGGUCAUCUUGUCUCCCUGGUCCCCUCCAGCCUUUCCUCAUCUUUUGUGACCUGGUCACUCUGGAAGGGCGCUGGCCAGUUAGUCCACAGGAUGGGCCUCCCCUGGGGCUUUUCUGAUGCUUCCUUAUGAUGGCACUGGCAUCCUGAGGGGGAGGACCACAGAGAGGAGGUGCUCCUCAUCACACCACAUGGGGGUCCAUGCACCAGUGCCACUGCUUUCCAGGGCUCUUCACCUUCAUCACUGGUGGAGGUGGCGUCUGCCAAGAAGCAGAAAGUUGAGGCUUAGAAGGUGCACGGCCCUACCUCUUCCGAGGUGCCCCUGCGGGCUGUCUACAGACCAGGCAGCACAUGCCUGAUAGCAGCUGCAUAAGGAAAAGCAGGAGCCAGCUCGUGCACAGUGGCCUCAAGUGUGCACUGGGCAUGUUCUCUGCCUCACCAUCCCUGUGUGACAGAUGAAGCAUGGCAAGCCAGGCUCCAGAGAAGCAUCCUGAGGACCAGUGUUCCUAGGGACCUCAUUCUUCUGACCUCAUUCCUACAACGUUUUGUCACUGCAAAGGAAAUCACCAAGGCCAGACAAGUGAGCUCAUGGAAACCUCUCCAUCGUUGACCAGGAUCUAUAGGAAAACCCUCCUCUUCUUCUAUAUGCAAAGGCUGCACAGCUCCUGGUUCACCUGCACCUCUCCAGACCACCAUGGUGCCUGCAGCUCUGAGGGCAUUUUAAAUCAUCACAGAACAACAAGCAUAUAAGCAUCAUGAGCGCCUCUGGACCUCUGACGUGCCUUGUGGAGGCCUGCCAGGCCCACGUUUUAAUUUACAUGAACUCGAUGCCCUUUUUGACAGGGAGAGAUCUGUUUCUUUAUUUGUUAGCCUUUCCCCUGGACCUGCUAGAUCUGGACCAUCCCCAGGAAAGGAAGGUCACACCACAAAGAUAAAUAUAAACAAAAUGAGUUAAUUAAGAA